RNAcentral lists this ribosomal RNA (1019 nucleotides) under uncultured bacterium. RNAcentral describes it as "bacterial SSU rRNA". It matches the Rfam family "Bacterial small subunit ribosomal RNA", at positions 355 to 1375 of the family's 1533-position model. The record is from RNAcentral.
UGAGGAAUAUUGGUCAAUGGACGAGAGUCUGAACCAGCCAAGUAGCGUGAAGGAUGAAGGUUCUAUGGAUUGUAAACUUCUUUUAUACGGGAAUAAACGGAUCCACGUGUGGAUUUUUGCAUGUACCGUAUGAAUAAGGAUCGGCUAACUCCGUGCCAGCAGCCGCGGUAAUACGGAGGAUCCGAGCGUUAUCCGGAUUUAUUGGGUUUAAAGGGAGCGUAGAUGGGUUGUUAAGUCAGUUGUGAAAGUUUGCGGCUCAACCGUAAAAUUGCAAUUGAUACUGGCAGUCUUGAGUACAGUUGAGGUAGGCGGAAUUCGUGGUGUAGCGGUGAAAUGCUUAGAUAUCACGAAGAACUCCGAUUGCGAAGGCAGCUUACUAACCUGUAACUGACAUUGAUGCUCGAAAGUGUGGGUAUCAAACAGGAUUAGAUACCCUGGUAGUCCACACGGUAAACGAUGAAUACUCGCUGUAGGCGAUAUACAGUCUGCGGCCAAGCGAAAGCAUUAAGUAUUCCACCUGGGGAGUACGCCGGCAACGGUGAAACUCAAAGGAAUUGACGGGGGCCCGCACAAGCGGAGGAACAUGUGGUUUAAUUCGAUGAUACGCGAGGAACCUUACCCGGGCUUAAAUUGCAACCGAAUAUGGCGGAAACGCUAUAGCUAGCAAUAGCGGUUGUGAAGGUGCUGCAUGGUUGUCGUCAGCUCGUGCCGUGAGGUGUCGGCUUAAGUGCCAUAACGAGCGCAACCCUUGCCGAUAGUUACUAACAGGUUAUGCUGAGGACUCUGUCGGGACUGCCAUCGUAAGAUGUGAGGAAGGUGGGGAUGACGUCAAAUCAGCACGGCCCUUACGUCCGGGGCUACACACGUGUUACAAUGGGGGGUACAGAGGGCUGCUACCACGCAAGUGGAUGCCAAUCCCAAAAACCUCUCUCAGUUCGGAUUGAAGUCUGCAACCCGACUUCAUGAAGCUGGAUUCGCUAGUAAUCGCGCAUCAGCCACGGCGCGGUGAAUACGUUCCC